UGGGGAAUAUUGCACAAUGGGCGCAAGCCUGAUGCAGCCAUGCCGCGUGUAUGAAGAAGGCCUUCGGGUUGUAAAGUACUUUCAGCGGGGAGGAAGGCGAUAAGGUUAAUAACCUUGUCGAUUGACGUUACCCGCAGAAGAAGCACCGGCUAACUCCGUGCCAGCAGCCGCGGUAAUACGGAGGGUGCAAGCGUUAAUCGGAAUUACUGGGCGUAAAGCGCACGCAGGCGGUCUGUCAAGUCGGAUGUGAAAUCCCCGGGCUCAACCUGGGAACUGCAUUCGAAACUGGCAGUCUAGAGUCUUGUAGAGGGGGGUAGAAUUCCAGGUGUAGCGGUGAAAUGCGUAGAGAUCUGGAGGAAUACCGGUGGCGAAGGCGGCCCCCUGGACAAAGACUGACGCUCAGGUGCGAAAGCGUGGGGAGCAAACA
RNAcentral lists this ribosomal RNA (427 nucleotides) under uncultured bacterium. RNAcentral's name for it is "partial 16S ribosomal RNA". It matches the Rfam family "Bacterial small subunit ribosomal RNA", at positions 355 to 774 of the family's 1533-position model. The record is from RNAcentral.